Molecule: ribosomal RNA, 985 nt
Filed under: uncultured euryarchaeote
Lineage: Archaea; Methanobacteriati; Methanobacteriota
Description: bacterial SSU rRNA
Rfam family: Archaeal small subunit ribosomal RNA
Source: RNAcentral
AAAUUCCGCAAUGCGCGAAAGCGUGACGGGGGAAAUCCGAGUGCCAUACGCAAGUAUGGCUUUUAAUGAGUUUGAAUAACUCGUUGAAUAAGUGGUGGGUAAAUCCUGUGCCAGCCGCCGCGGUAACACAGGUAACACGAGUGGUAUCCACGAAUAUUGAGUCUAAAGCGUCUGUAGCCCGCUCAGCCAGUUUUCUGUGAAAUCUUAGCGCUCAACGUUAAGGCGUGCAGGAAAUACUACUGAGCUUGGGAGUGGGGGAGGUAACGAGUACACUAGGGGGAACGGUAAAAUGUUGUAAUCCUUAGUGGACUACCGGUGGCGAAAGCGCGUUACCAAAACACGUCCGACGGUGAGAGACGAAGGCUAGGGGAGCGAAUCGGAUUAGAUACCCGAGUAGUCCUAUGCAGUAAAUGAUGCAAACUUGGCGUUGCAGUUGCUUUGUGUGGCUGCAGUGCCGUAGCGAAGGCGUUUAGUUUGCCACUUGGGGAGUACGAUCGCAAGAUUGAAACUUAAAGGAAUUGGCGGGGGAGCACCACAAGGGGUGGAUGCUGCGGUUCAAUUGGAUUCAACGCCGGAAAACUCACCAGCAAAGACGGCAGGAUGAAGGUCAAGCUGAAGACUUUACCUAACAAGCCGAGAAGUGUUGCAUGGCCAGCGUCAGCUCGUGCCGUGAGGUGUCAGGUUAAGUCCUGCAACGAGCGAGAUCUUCGCCCAUUGUUGCCAGCGUCGUAGCAGUACGGCGCGCACUCUAUGGGGACUGCCCGCGUUAAGCGGGAGGAAGGAGAAGGCGACGCUAGGUCCGUAUGGCCUGAAUUUGCUGGGCCACACGUGGCAUACAAAGGAUGGGACAAUGAGUUCCAACGCCGAAAGGUGAAGGUAAUCCCCUAAACCCAUUCCCAGUCUGAAUUGAGGGCUGAAACUCGUCCUCAUGAAACUGGAAUCCCUAGUAAUCGCGUGUCAUUAUCGCGCGGUGAAUAUGUCCCCG